UUGACAACAAAACUGCCACAAACCCCGAUGUAGGACCAGUCAUGCCAUAGACUUCUAAAGGCCUGUGGCGUGCACACCUUCAGUGAAAGCACAGGUGCACACCAACUAGCAAGUCGGCAGGGGUGAACAAUGGGGUGAACGCGUCAUAUAAACCAACAAACAAAAACGUCUCGCCUGUCGGGUCCAUUUUUGUAGUUUGACGCGCUGUUUAAAAAUCUCAAACCAUAUGACAAAGGCACAUUUGUUCACGUGUCUGGAGCUGCUGGAGUAGCAUGGUGGCGCAAGCACGACGAAGAUGUACCGAGGAGAGAACGUGAACAGUGUUUUUUCUGUCUGAACCAAUGAUGAACGCUACGGCUACUACAAAAAUGUGGUCAAGGGAAAUUAUGGAGGAGAACUGCGGUUGAAAUAUGAUUCAUUGAUUUGCUCUUAGCUUGGAGCUUGAAUUUCAGACAGAACAACUUCAAAGCAAUGGAAAGACACACAGCUGACCCAUCACAAUCUGAUCAUCAGCAGCACUGACACAUUGGUUGCUUGUGACUAUGAUGGUUAUCCACUCAGACUGUGUUUGUCUCGCCUGAGCUAAUUUCAGCAUGACCUUUGUCACUAUCAUCUGAAACCAAGAUGCUAGUCUGAAUACACACUCUGUUCUUGUCAGUGUCAGUGACACUUGAAGCAAUUCUAUAUUUCUGUCAGACAUGUCAGACCAAUUGUAUAAUUCCCUCAUUUUAGAACUAUUAAAGCUUAAAAUACAGCAAAAUCCAGUCAAUGAUUAAUAAAUGAUGAAACCU
Molecule: long non-coding RNA, 791 nt
Filed under: Danio rerio (zebrafish)
Lineage: Eukaryota; Metazoa; Chordata; Actinopteri; Cypriniformes; Danionidae
Description: si:dkey-103g5.7 (ENSDARG00000096853.2)
Source: RNAcentral